Molecule: ribosomal RNA, 253 nt
Filed under: uncultured bacterium
Lineage: Bacteria
Description: partial 16S ribosomal RNA
Rfam family: Bacterial small subunit ribosomal RNA
Source: RNAcentral
UACGUAGGGUGCAAGCGUUAAUCGGAAUUACUGGGUGUAAAGGGAGCGUAGGUGGUUCGGUAAGUCAGAUGUGAAAGCCCGGGGCUCAACCCCGGGACUGCAUUUGAAGCUAUCGAACUAGAGUGCAGGAGAGGUAAGUGGAAUUCCUAGUGUAGCGGUGAAAUGCGUAGAUAUUAGGAGGAACACCAGUGGCGAAGGCGGCUUACUGGACUGUAACUGACACUGAGGCUCGAAAGCUAGGGUAGCAAAUGGG